AGCAAUAUAUAUAUAUAUGAUAAUACUAUAUGAAAUAAUUAUUAAUUGAACUGCUAAUAUAAGAAUUUAGCAUAGUGCAUGUAUAGAGGAUAUAUGAUUUUACUCACAGUCUGCACCUACACCUCGGAUGAAGCUGGCUGGACGGACGAAUUAUCUAUCCACGAAAAUAACUCAAUUAAUAAGAUAUCUUUAAUUUUUCCUAGGCCUAGACUCCUAGAUUAGACUGCUUAAGCAAUUCAAAAAUUCUAUCGAAAAUUCGGCAGAACCUCCUAAAAUAUGGAUAUUUACCCUCGUAUAAUAGGUCCAGAACCUGCUAGAAAUAUUUUAAAUAUUCGGCAAUUAUUUAUCAGGAGUCGGGCCACCAAAACUGCAUUUUUGUUCCAACUCCGCAAUGAAGCUCAACCUACAAAAUUAUUUAUCUGUCCGACAUAAAUAUUUAAUUCUCAACCAACCCACAAACAAUUUCUUAGUAUUUAAACUAAUUAUACAGAACCACAUUGAUCACAAAUCAGAAAAAUAAUUAAUCAUACUAAUUAAUUUAUAAUAUUUAUAACUACGUUAUAAAUUAAUUAAAUCUAAUUAAGUUAAAUUAUUCAUAAUUGACAGAUUAAUAGUAAUAAUAUUUUCUAAAAUUUUAAAAUAAUUUUAAAGUCCAAAUAAAAUUAUAUUAAACCGAAAAUCUGAAAUUCUGUGUGUCUAGAAAACAGUAGAGUCCGAAAGUCAGUACCCUCAACGACAUCAGGAUUCAAAUCCGAAAGUAUCUAUUCAAAACUUGAGACGUGCUAAAACCAAAAACACCAUAUUUACAGUCUAGCUCUUGCCAGAAAAUGCCUGAUUGCGGAGGAAGGAUUUCUGCUUCGGCGAGAGAUACAGCGGGGGAGAGCUGUCCAGGGGGUUUUUGAUGGUGGAGAGUUAGAAUCUGGUGUCAGAUUGGCAAGGAAACAACGAUGUGGGGCUGAUUUGGUGGUGGCAGUGAGGAAGGAAGCUUCCUCCUCUCAAGCACCUCUCCUUCGUCGGCUCCAGGCGGUGAGGAUGGCGGAAACAGGCUAGCGACAUCGAGGAUGGUUCACGGUAGGCAAGGGACGGAAGGGCGGCGAGGUUAAUGACCAGAAACAGAGAGUGCGGGGGAAAGGAGGCGAUGGCGUCAGUGGUGAGAAGGAGAGGAUGGGACUUUUUUCUUUUUGGGUCUCUUGCUAGAGACUAAAAAUAAAUUUUGCAAUUUUUCAAAAAGUGCUUAUAAUAUUUUCUCUUCUUUCUUCCUCGUCUAUUCUUAUUAUAAAACAACCAUGCUACAAUACCCUUACAAC
Molecule: long non-coding RNA, 1307 nt
Filed under: Ricinus communis (castor bean)
Lineage: Eukaryota; Viridiplantae; Streptophyta; Magnoliopsida; Malpighiales; Euphorbiaceae
Description: long non-coding RNA (RCOM_LNC001116)
Source: RNAcentral